GAUGAAAGAACGUAGUGAAAUGCGAUAAGUAAUGUGAAUUGCAGAAUUCAGUGAAUCAUCGAAUCUUUGAACGCACAUUGCGCCCUCUGGUAUUCCGGGGGGCAUGCCUGUUCGAGCGUCAUUAUAACCACUCAAGCUCUCGCUUGGUAUUGGGGUUCGCGGUUUCGCGGCCCCUAAAAUCAGUGGCGGUGCCUGUCGGCUCUACGCGUAGUAAUACUUCUCGCGAUUGAGUUCGAUAGGUCUACUUGCCAGUAACCCCCAAUUUUUACAGGUUGACCUCGGAUCAGGUAGGGAUACCCGCUGAACUUAAGCAUAUCAAUAGCGGAGGA
RNAcentral lists this unclassified non-coding RNA (329 nucleotides) under soil metagenome. Its description in RNAcentral is "partial contains 5.8S ribosomal RNA, internal transcribed spacer 2, and large subunit ribosomal RNA". The stretch from base 6 to 121 matches the Rfam family "5.8S ribosomal RNA", at positions 39 to 154 of the family's 154-position model. The record is from RNAcentral.